Molecule: ribosomal RNA, 394 nt
Filed under: uncultured bacterium
Lineage: Bacteria
Description: partial 16S ribosomal RNA
Rfam family: Bacterial small subunit ribosomal RNA
Source: RNAcentral
AUACGUAGGGGACGAGCGUUGUCCGGAAUUACUGGGCGUCAAGGGCGCGCAGGCGGAUAUUUAAGUCAGCUGUAAAAGGCAUGAGCUCAACUCAUGUAUGCGGUUGAAACUGGGUAUCUAGAGUGCUGGAGAGGUAGGCGGAAUUCCCGGGGUAGCGGUGAAAUGCGUAGAUAUCGGGAAGAACACCAGUGGCGAAGGCGGCUUACUGGCCAGCAACUGACGCUGAGGCGCGAAAGCCAGGGGAGCGAACGGGAUUAGAUACCCCGGUAGUCCUGGCAGUAAACGAUGUAUGCUGGGUGUGGGAGUAGCGAUACCUCCGUGCCGAAGUUAACGCGAUAAGCAUACCGCCUGGGGAGUACGGUCGCAAGAUUGAAACUCAAAUGAAUUGGCGGGG